This 504-nucleotide ribosomal RNA is filed under the name uncultured bacterium. Its description in RNAcentral is "bacterial SSU rRNA". It matches the Rfam family "Bacterial small subunit ribosomal RNA", at positions 19 to 518 of the family's 1533-position model. The record is from RNAcentral.
CUGGCUCAGGAUGAACGCUAGCGGCAGGCUAACACAUGCAAGUCGAGGGGCAUCGGGAGUAGCAAUACUGCCGGCGACCGGCGCAAGGGUGCGUAACGCGUGAGCAACAUGCCCGUAUCAGGGGGAUAAUCCAUGGAAACGUGGUCUAAUACCCCAUAGUAAUUAUGUAAGGCAUCUUAUAUAAUUUAAAGCUUUGGUGGAUACGGAUUGGCUCGCGUGACAUUAGCUAGAUGGUAAGGUAACGGCUUACCAUGGCUACGAUGUCUAGGGGUUCUGAGAGGAAGGUCCCCCCACACUGGAACUGAGACACGGUCCAGACUCCUACGGGAGGCAGCAGUGAGGAAUAUUGGACAAUGGAUGGAAAUCUGAUCCAGCCAUGCCGCGUGCAGGAAAGACGGCCCUAUGGGUUGUAAACUGCUUUUGUAUGGGAGCAAUAAGGGCUACGCGUAGUCCGAUGAGAGUACCAUACGAAUAAGCACCGGCUAACUCCGUGCCAGCAGCCGC